GGCUUUCCUAGAAAUGAGUGCGUACAGAAACAGUCGGUUCCUAUUUUUUGAUGGUUUCCAUGCAGUGGAGCAAUGACAAACCAAACUUGUCAUUUUAUUUUAGAACUUUUAAUGAGGAAAGACACAGCGGCGAUAGAUAGCGCCACCAGUCAUAAUGACUGACAGCCCUUGGUGUUAUCACGGAUUUGCGAAGAACACUUUUUACAAGGAACUCCAGCUUGGUCAGGUUGGCUUCUGCAAGGAAAUCUAGAGACGUAUGAAGCCCGCUGACAUCAAGACUGGACAGCUGUCUGAGAAAAGUUUUGUUUUUCACGUCCCAUUUCAUUGGUAUGACGCUGA
Molecule: long non-coding RNA, 339 nt
Organism: Gambusia affinis (western mosquitofish)
Lineage: Eukaryota; Metazoa; Chordata; Actinopteri; Cyprinodontiformes; Poeciliidae
Exons: 3
Source: RefSeq, a predicted model, not a curated record